AGCAGCCGCGGUAAUUCCAACUCCAAUAGCGUAUAUUAAAGUUGUUGCAGUUAAAAAGCUCGUAGUUGAAUUUCGGGAUCAAUACGUCGGUCGUGCUUCGGUACGUACUGGCGUAAUUGAUUUCUCCCUUCUGACGAACCAUGAUGUCAUUAACUUGGUGUCAUGGGAAAUCAGGACUGUUACUUUGAAAAAUUAGAGUGUUUAAAGCAAGCUAACGCUUGAAUACAUUAGCAUGGAAUAAUGAAAUAGGACGUUUGAUCCUAUUUUGUUGGUUUCUAGGAUCGACGUAAUGAUUAAUAGGGAUAGUUGGGGGCAUUAGUAUUCAAUUGUCAGAGGUGAAAUUCUUGGAUUUAUUGAAGACUAACUACUGCGAAAGCAUUUGCCAAGGAUGUUUUCAUUAAUCAAGAACGAAAGUUAGGGGAUCGAAGACGAUCAGAUACCGUCGUAGUCUUAACCAUAAACUAUGCCGACUAGGGAUCGGAUGAUGUUAAUUUUUAAUGACUCAUUCGGCGCCUUACGG
This 520-nucleotide ribosomal RNA is filed under the name uncultured Glomus. RNAcentral describes it as "SSU rRNA". It matches the Rfam family "Eukaryotic small subunit ribosomal RNA", at positions 569 to 1093 of the family's 1831-position model. Lineage: Eukaryota; Fungi; Glomeromycota; Glomeromycetes; Glomerales; Glomeraceae. The record is from RNAcentral.